This 253-nucleotide ribosomal RNA is filed under the name uncultured bacterium. RNAcentral's name for it is "partial 16S ribosomal RNA". It matches the Rfam family "Bacterial small subunit ribosomal RNA", at positions 524 to 776 of the family's 1533-position model. The record is from RNAcentral.
UACGUAGGGUGCGAGCGUUGUCCGGAAUUAUUGGGCGUAAAGAGCUCGUAGGCAGUCUGUCGCGUCGGAUGUGAAAACUCGGGGCUCAACCCCGAGCCUGCAUUCGAUACGGGCAGACUAGAGUUCGGUAGGGGAGACUGGAAUUCCUGGUGUAGCGGUGAAAUGCGCAGAUAUCAGGAGGAACACCGGUGGCGAAGGCGGGUCUCUGGGCCGAUACUGACGCUGAGGAGCGAAAGCGUGGGGAGCGAACAGG